RNAcentral lists this long non-coding RNA (227 nucleotides) under Elaeis guineensis (African oil palm). RNAcentral describes it as "long non-coding RNA (EGUI_LNC051886)". The record is from RNAcentral. Lineage: Eukaryota; Viridiplantae; Streptophyta; Magnoliopsida; Arecales; Arecaceae.
GUUAUUAUCACAUAAGGCUAAGAGGAGGUCCCUUUGAAUAGGCCUUGAAUUGGAGUCGGAACCAAACUCCAAUCUUUAUUUAAAGAAGAUUUCUAAUCGCAUUAGGGCUCCCUCUUUUAAAGUCUUAAACCUAUUAAUUAGUCCUUAUCUCACAAGGAAAGGGGAUGAGGCACCAACUAUUGACCCUCUAGGAUUUCUCAUGCCAUAAGGAGAUGAGCAUGCACCCC